Molecule: ribosomal RNA, 737 nt
Filed under: Candidatus Synechococcus spongiarum
Lineage: Bacteria; Bacillati; Cyanobacteriota; Cyanophyceae; Synechococcales; Synechococcaceae
Description: bacterial SSU rRNA
Rfam family: Bacterial small subunit ribosomal RNA
Source: RNAcentral
CUGGCCGUAAACGAUGAACACCAGAUGUUGGGGGAAUCGACCCCUCCGGUGUCGUAGCUAACGCGUUAAGUGUUCCGCCUGGGGAGUACGCACGCAAGUGUGAAACUCAAAGGAAUUGACGGGGGCCCGCACAAGCGGUGGAGUAUGUGGUUUAAUUCGAUGCAACGCGAAGAACCUUACCAAGGCUUGACAUCCUGCGAAUCUCCAAGAAAUUGGAGAGUGCCUUCGGGAACGCAGUGACAGGUGGUGCAUGGCUGUCGUCAGCUCGUGUCGUGAGAUGUUGGGUUAAGUCCCGCAACGAGCGCAACCCACGUUUUUAGUUGCCAGCAUUCAGUUGGGCACUCUAGAAAGACUGCCGGUGACAAACCGGAGGAAGGUGUGGACGACGUCAAAUCAUCAUGCCCCUUACGCCUUGGGCUACACACGUACUACAAUGCUGCGGACAAAGAGUAGCGAUCUUGCAAAAGUUAGCUAAUCUCGUAAACCGUGGCUCAGUUCAGAUCGUAGGCUGCAACUCGCCUACGUGAAGGAGGAAUCGCUAGUAAUCGCAGGUCAGCAUACUGCGGUGAAUACGUUCCCGGGCCUUGUACACACCGCCCGUCACACCAUGGAAGUUGGCCAUGCCCGAAGUCGUUACUCUAACCUUUUGGAAGAGGGCGCCGAAGGCAGGGCUAAUGACUGGGGUGAAGUCGUAACAAGGUAGCCGUAGCGGAAGCUGCGGCUGGAUCACCUCCUAA